UACGUAGGGGGCUAGCGUUGUCCGGAAUCAUUGGGCGUAAAGAGCGUGUAGGCGGCCCGGUAAGUCCGCUGUAAAAGUCAAAAGGCUCAACCUUUGAAUGUCAGUGGAUACUGCCGGGCUAGAGUCCGGAAGAGGCGAGUGGAACUCCUGGUGUAGCGGUGGAAUGCGCAGAUAUCAGGAGGAACACCCCGUGGCGAAGGCGGCUCCCCUGGUCCGUCCCCUGACGCUGAGACGGCGAAAAGCGGCGGGGAGCGAACGGG
Molecule: ribosomal RNA, 260 nt
Filed under: uncultured bacterium
Lineage: Bacteria
Description: partial 16S ribosomal RNA
Rfam family: Bacterial small subunit ribosomal RNA
Source: RNAcentral